RNAcentral lists this long non-coding RNA (1790 nucleotides) under Arachis ipaensis. Its description in RNAcentral is "long non-coding RNA (AIPA_LNC001481)". The record is from RNAcentral. Lineage: Eukaryota; Viridiplantae; Streptophyta; Magnoliopsida; Fabales; Fabaceae.
AUUAAUGAAAUUUCAAAGAAGCUUACUUUUUAUAUAGGGCAUUGAAAUUCAAAUUGAAUUGAGUUGAAAUCUUUUGAAACUUGCAUGAUUUAUACAUUGUGGGAUAUGUUUUUUGAGUUAAAGAACACAUAACUUGUGAGAUUUUGAGCCUUAUUGUGUUGUUACAUUAUUUGACCACUUAUUCCAUUAUUGUGUGUUGCUCUUCUCUAUGAUUGCAAUCUUUGGUUUGUUUAAGUCUAUAUCCAUUGUUUAAUGUAUAUUUAUGUAAUUAUGUGAUUGAGGCCAUCACUUCAUUAUAGCUCACUUAACCCAAAUAGCCUACCAUUUCAUUCACCUUUGUUUGCCACUUUGAACCUUUUUAAUCCCCCUUUGUUCUUUAUUUUGCCACGUCAUUAACCUUAAGCGAAAAACAAUGAAGUGUCCCUUAUUUGAAUCUUUGAGUAGCUUAAGUUAGUGAGAGUGUGUAAUGUUUAAGUGUGGGGAAAAUGUGGGAACUUUGGGUGAUAAAAAUGUGUUUUAUGCUUAUUGAAAAAUGUUAGAAAUUUGGGUACAUGCUCAUGUAAUAUUAUAGAAACCAUAUGCAUUCAUGAGUUGGUAUAUAUAUUAUGUUCUUUAAAAAAAAGAAAAAGAAAGAAAAGAAAAAGAAAUAAUGAAAAGGGGACAAAAUUACCCCAAUGUGAAAUCUAAUAAAAAUCAAUGCAUAUAUGAUUGAAUUUGAUGCAUGAGCGUGUAUAUAUUAAAAGUGAGAUUAUGGGUAGCUAAGUUUGAUAUUAGAAUUGUAUAUGUUGUGUAUGUCUUAGGUGAGAAUUUAGGCUAAUCAAAUAUAUAUAGAUAGUUAGAUAGUAUAGGUACAUACACAGAGAUAGAUUGCAUAUAGAUAAUUAUAUUGAAUAAAUGUUGAUCCCCUUCUUGUCUUCUUUUGGUAUAGCAUGAGGACAUGCUAUUGUUUAAGUGUGGGGUUGUGAUGAAUCCACAUUUUCUGAUAUUUAUUUGCUCUAUCUGGGUGGAUUUCAUCAACUUUUCCUACACUUAUUCCUUUAAAUAGCAUAGCUUUGUAAUUCUCCCUAGAUUUGUGCUUAAUUGUAAAAACAUGCUUUUUAAGCCUUAAAAUAGCUAAUUUUAUUCCACUUUCAUUGCAUUCGAUGCCUUGAUGUGUUUGAUGAGUAAUUCCAGGAUUCCAAGGAAAAUAUGGAUGGAAGAAGUGAUGGAAAGGCAUGUAUGAUAAACCCCGAUUUCGUGAUUUAUCUUGUGAUUAUUUUAGGGGAUUUUACCACCUUUUUCCAUAUUUAUUCAAUGAAAUAGCAUGGUUUUGUAAUUAUCCCUUGAAUUUUGCUUAAGUGUAAAAACAUGAUUUUUAGGCCUUAAAUUGGUAAUUUUGAUUGACUUUAAUUCCAUUCGAUGCCUUGAUAUGUGUAUUGAGUGAUUUCAGGUUUAUAAGGCAAGUAUUGGAUGGAAGAAAUGAGUAGAAAAACAUACAAAGGGGAGAAUGCAUGAAGAAACAAAGAUUGGAAAUGCAUCAAAGGACGCGCACGCGCACAAGGCGCGCCUGCGCAAAAGUGGUCUCGCCCAUAGACGCGCAUGCGUACAUGCCGCAUCCGCGCGGAUGGAGAAUUUACCAAUCGACGCGCACGCGCACAUGGCGCACACGCGCCGGUACUCUCACAUGGCCCACUUAAAGGCAAAAUGCUGGGGGCGAUUUCUGAGCUACCCAGGCCCAAAUCCAACUUGUUUCUGAGUGUAUUUCAUGCAGAAUUGAAGUCCAAGAAAAGGGAGAGCAAUUAGUUUUAGCC